GAUGAACGCUGGCGGCGUGCUUAACACAUGCAAGUCGAACGAAGCACUUUAUUUGAUUUCCUUCGGGACUGAUUAUUUUGUGACUGAGUGGCGGACGGGUGAGUAACGCGUGGGUAACCUGCCUUGUACAGGGGGAUAACAGUUGGAAACGGCUGCUAAUACCGCAUAAGCGCACAGCAUCGCAUGAUGCAGUGUGAAAAAGUCCGGUGGUAUAAGAUGGACCCGCGUUGGAUUAGCUAGUUGGUGAGGUGACGGCCCACCAAGGCGACGAUCCAUAGCCGACCUGAGAGUGUGACCGGCCACAUUGGGACUGAGACACGGCCCAAACUCCUACGGGAGGCAGCAGUGGGGAAUAUUGCACAAUGGGCGAAAGCCUGAUGCAGCGACGCCGCGUGAGCGAAGAAGUAUUUCGGUAUGUAAAGCUCUAUCAGCAGGGAAGAUAAUGACGGUACCUGACGAAGAAGCACCGGCUAAAUACGUG
RNAcentral lists this ribosomal RNA (481 nucleotides) under uncultured bacterium. RNAcentral's name for it is "partial 16S ribosomal RNA". It matches the Rfam family "Bacterial small subunit ribosomal RNA", at positions 28 to 507 of the family's 1533-position model. The record is from RNAcentral.